AACGCGAAGAACCUUACCUGGGCUCGAAGCGCAGUGGAAUCCGGUGGAAACAUCGGCGCCCCUUAAAAGGCCGCUGCGGAGGUGCUGCAUGGCUGUCGUCAGCUCGUGUCGUGAGAUGUUGGGUUAAGUCCCGCAACGAGCGCAACCCUUAUCCCUAGUUGCCACCGGGUAAUGCCGAGCUACACUAGUGAAACUGCCUGGGAUAACCAGGAGGAAGGUGGGGAUGACGUCAAGUCCUCAUGGCCUUUAUGUCCAGGGCUACACACGUGCUACAAUGGUCGGUACAAACCGUCGCAAACCCGCGAGGGGAAGCUAAUCGGAAAAAGCCGGCCUCAGUUCGGAUUGGAGUCUGCAACUCGACUCCAUGAAGCUGGAAUCGCUAGUAAUCGCGGAUCAGAACGCCGCGGUGAAUACGUUCCCGGGCCUUGUACACACCGGCUAC
This 442-nucleotide ribosomal RNA is filed under the name uncultured bacterium. Its description in RNAcentral is "bacterial SSU rRNA". It matches the Rfam family "Bacterial small subunit ribosomal RNA", at positions 958 to 1397 of the family's 1533-position model. The record is from RNAcentral.